GACGAACGCUGGCGGCGUGCUUAACACAUGCAAGUCGAACGGAAAGGCCCUGCUUUUGUGGGGUGCUCGAGUGGCGAACGGGUGAGUAACACGUGAGUAACCUGCCCUUGACUUUGGGAUAACUUCAGGAAACUGGGGCUAAUACCGGAUAGGAGCUCCUGCUGCAUGGUGGGGGUUGGAAAGUUUCGGCGGUUGGGGAGGGACUCGCGGCUUAUCAGCUUGUUGGUGUGGUAGUGUAUUACCAAGGCUUUGCCCCGUAGCCUGCCUGAUAGGGGGAGCUGCCCAGUCAGAAUGGGACUGCGGCCCGGCCUACAAUGGGAGGCGAGACUGGGGUAGAGAGCACUAUACACUGGGGCCAGAUGCAGCACCGCCGCGUCGCGUAUGACAGCCAUCGGUUAGUAAUCCGAUUUCGUUUGAGACGAGACGUGAGUGACGGUAAUGGGAAAAGAAGCACCGGCUAACUCCGUG
Molecule: ribosomal RNA, 468 nt
Filed under: uncultured bacterium
Lineage: Bacteria
Description: partial 16S ribosomal RNA
Rfam family: Bacterial small subunit ribosomal RNA
Source: RNAcentral